CCCCCCCUUUUUUUUUUCCCUAAUAGAAGCUCAACUCAGCCUAAAUUCCAAUGUAGCUUGGGUCAGCCAAAUCUCUCAUUUUCCUCCACUUUACUUCGUGUAGGUAAGCCUUGAUAAACCAUUAAAUGAAUUUAUUUUGGAUAUUCCUUCCUUAGGAAUUGGCAAAAAAAAAUUGUAUUCUCCUACAACUGCACUCUGGACAACAUUCAUGGCCAAUAAUAAAAAUAAUCCCUACGGCUCUACAAUGAUAGUAGAAGCCAAUAUAAGAAUGUAACAAUGGUUUAGGCAUUCAUCCAUUACCAAUGGAUUCAGGAUGACAACUAAAUACUGCUGUUAUCUCACAGAUAAGCCACAUACUCUGAAAACAUGAAAACAGGAAGAAGAGAGUAAAACAAAAUAAUAUAUA
Molecule: unclassified non-coding RNA, 406 nt
Filed under: Hevea brasiliensis (rubber tree)
Lineage: Eukaryota; Viridiplantae; Streptophyta; Magnoliopsida; Malpighiales; Euphorbiaceae
Source: RNAcentral